RNAcentral lists this ribosomal RNA (253 nucleotides) under uncultured bacterium. Its description in RNAcentral is "partial 16S ribosomal RNA". It matches the Rfam family "Bacterial small subunit ribosomal RNA", at positions 524 to 776 of the family's 1533-position model. The record is from RNAcentral.
UACAGAGGGGGCAAGCGUUGUUCGGAAUUACUGGGCGUAAAGGGCGCGUAGGCGGCCCUCUAAGUCAGACGUGAAAUCCCUCGGCUCAACCGAGGAACUGCGCUUCAUACUGCAUGGCUUGAGGGAGACAGGGGUAAGCGGAACUGAUGGUGGAGCGGUGAAAUGCGUAGAUAUCUGGAGGAAUACCGGUGGCGAAGGCGGCAUCCUGGACCGACAUUGACGCUGAACGGCGAAAGCUAGGGGAGCAAACGGG